GCCGGUGUGGCUCAGGGGUAGAGCAAUUCACUCGUAAUGAAUAGGUCGCGGGUUCGAUUCCCGCCACCGGCUCCA
RNAcentral lists this transfer RNA (75 nucleotides) under Clostridia bacterium. RNAcentral's name for it is "tRNA-Thr". It matches the Rfam family "tRNA". Rfam says of the family: Transfer RNA (tRNA) molecules are approximately 80 nucleotides in length. Their secondary structure includes four short double-helical elements and three loops (D, anti-codon, and T loops). The record is from RNAcentral. Lineage: Bacteria; Bacillati; Bacillota; Clostridia.